This 740-nucleotide long non-coding RNA is filed under the name Homo sapiens (human). Its description in RNAcentral is "non-protein coding lnc-VAX1-4:2". Lineage: Eukaryota; Metazoa; Chordata; Mammalia; Primates; Hominidae. The record is from RNAcentral.
GCAGGUUACUCAUUUUUGGAUCCUAUGACAGAGAGGCAAAUGUUCAUUGCACACUUGAGUUAAGCAGUAGUGUUUGGGAAGAAAAACAGAGGAGUUCUAUUAAGACGGUUGAAUUAAUAAAAGGAAAUUUACAAAGUGUUGGACUUACACUUCGUCUUGUCCAGUCAACUGAUGGGUAUGCUGGGCACGUCAUCAUUGAAACUGUGGCUCCAAACUCGCCUGCUGCAAUUGCAGAUCUUCAGCGGGGAGAUCGACUUAUCGCCAUUGGAGUUCAAACUGAGAGAUGUCAUCUAACCUAAGAAGAGAUAGAAAGCAAUUAGGAGUUAGCAUCCUGGCACUCUUUUUGGGAUCCUGUGUCAUCAUCUGGUUUGAAAAGGUGUGAAAAUCACAUCAACACUGCAAGUGUUGAAGCUUAUCAAGCAGGCUGGUGACCGAGUCCUGGUGUACUAUGAAAGGCCUGUUGGCCAGAGUAAUCAAGGUGCAGUGCUGCAAGAUAACUUUGGCCAGUUGGAAGAAAACUUUUUGUCAAGCUCAUGCCAAUCGGGUUAUGAAGAGGAAGCUGCCGGGUUGACAGUAGAUACUGAAAGUAGAGAGCUGGAUUCUGAAUUUGAAGACUUGGCAAGUGAUGUCAGAGCACAAAAUGAGUUCAAAGAUGAGGCACAAUCAUUAAGUCAUAGUCCCAAACGUGUUCCAACAACACUUUCUAUUAAACCCCUUGGAGCUAUAUCACCAGUUUUAAA